UUAUAUAAUUUUUUUUUGCUGAAUUUUCUAAUUUUUAAUUAAGUUAUUUUAUUUUUUUUGAUGUUUAGAAUAUUUGAAAAGCUUAUAUUUAUUAUAGUUUAUUUUUAAUGAAAAUGGUUUAUUUUAAUUUUGUUAAAAAAUUUUUUUAUUAUUUUACCUUUUGAUCAGGGUAAUAAAUAUUAUUUUGGAUUAAUUUUUUCGAAUUGUAAGGAUCUAUAUUAAAAGGAUUUUUAUUGUUUUAUAACUAUUUAAAAUUUUAAUAUAGGAGUGAAAUUCUAUACGUUUUAUAAGAUAUCUAGUUCUCUAAGAUAAAAAUUAAUUUUUAGUAAUUUUUAAAAUUGAUUUUUUUUUAUUAAUUUUUUAAUUUUCUAUUAUUAUUUAGGGGUUAAUCUCUAAAUUUAACUAUAAUUUAUUAAUUAUUUAUUUUUAUAUAGGCUUGGAAUUAGCCAUUGUUUAAGUUUGUAUUAUUUUAUUAUAUGAAUUAAUUAUUUUUUAUUUUAUUUAGUUAUUUUAUUAGAGUUUAAUUUGGAAUUUUUUUUUAUUAGUAAUAAUGAUUGAAUUAGUAUAUUUAUUUAUUUUGUUAUUUUAAUAAUUGAUUUAAAAUUAUUAUAAGGAAUUCGGCAAUUAUAUUUCCGCCUGUUUAUCAAAAACAUCUUUUGUAGAAUUUAUUACAGGUAGGGCCUGCACACUGAAUUUUUAAAGAGCCGCAGUAUUUUGACUGUGCAAAGGUAGCAUAAUCAUUAGUAUAUUAAUUGUAUACUGGAAUGAAAGGUUUGACGAGAAAUAUACUGUCUCUUUUUAAUUUAUAGAAUUUUACUUUUUAGUUAAAAGGCUAAAAUUUUUUUUUUGGACGAUAAGACCCUAUAGAAUUUAAUUUAUUAUUUAUUAUUAAUUUGGGUUAUUUUAUAUUUUUAUGUUAUAGUUAAAUUUAGUUGGGGCGAUUUGAAUAAUUAAUAAACUGUUCAUUUAUUUUUUCAUUGAUUAAUGUUUUUUUUGAUCCUUUAUUAUAGAUUAUAAGAUUAAAUUACCUUAGGGAUAACAGCGCAAUCAUCUUUGAGAGUUCUUAUUGACAGGAUUGGAUUGUGACCUCGAUGUUGGAUUAAAAUUAUUAAUUAGGUGAAGAUGCUUAAAUUAUUGGUCUGUUCGACCAUUAAAAUCUUACAUGAUCUGAGUUCAGACCGGUGUGAGCCAGGUUGGUUUCUAUCCAAUAAUAAAUUAAGUUUUCUAGUACGAAAGGACCGUUAAUUUUAAUUAUUUUAUUUGAUUUGAAUAAUAUU
This 1277-nucleotide ribosomal RNA is filed under the name Eucriotettix oculatus. RNAcentral's name for it is "16S ribosomal RNA". The stretch from base 1035 to 1195 matches the Rfam family "Archaeal large subunit ribosomal RNA", at positions 2542 to 2701 of the family's 2987-position model. The record is from RNAcentral. Lineage: Eukaryota; Metazoa; Arthropoda; Insecta; Orthoptera; Tetrigidae.